GAACUGAAGAGUUUGAUCAUGGCUCAGAUUGAACGCUGGCGGCAGGCCUAACACAUGCAAGUCGAGCGGAUGACGGGAGCUUGCUCCUGGAUUCAGCGGCGGACGGGUGAGUAAUGCCUAGGAAUCUGCCUGGUAGUGGGGGACAACGUUUCGAAAGGAACGCUAAUACCGCAUACGUCCUACG
RNAcentral lists this ribosomal RNA (184 nucleotides) under Pseudomonas fulva. RNAcentral describes it as "partial 16S ribosomal RNA". It matches the Rfam family "Bacterial small subunit ribosomal RNA", at positions 1 to 184 of the family's 1533-position model. Lineage: Bacteria; Pseudomonadati; Pseudomonadota; Gammaproteobacteria; Pseudomonadales; Pseudomonadaceae. The record is from RNAcentral. RNAcentral also lists the same sequence under 1 other name.